Molecule: ribosomal RNA, 491 nt
Filed under: uncultured bacterium
Lineage: Bacteria
Description: partial 16S ribosomal RNA
Rfam family: Bacterial small subunit ribosomal RNA
Source: RNAcentral
AGUGAACGCUGGCGGUAGGCCUAACACAUGCAAGUCGAACGGCAGCACAGUAAGAGCUUGCUCUUACGGGUGGCGAGUGGCGGACGGGUGAGGAAUACAUCGGAAUCUACUUUUUCGUGGGGGAUAACGUAGGGAAACUUACGCUAAUACCGCAUACGACCUACGGGUGAAAGCAGGGGAUCUUCGGACCUUGCGCGAUUGAAUGAGCCGAUGUCGGAUUAGCUAGUUGGCGGGGUAAAGGCCCACCAAGGCGACGAUCCGUAGCUGGUCUGAGAGGAUGAUCAGCCACACUGGACCUGAGACACGGUCCAGCCUCCUACGGGAGGCAGCAGUGGGGAAUAUUGGACAAUGGGCGCAAGCCUGAUCCAGCCAUACCGCGUGGGUGAAGAAGGCCUUCGGGUUGUAAAGCCCUUUUGUUGGGAAAGAAAAGCAGCAGGUUAAUACCCCGCUGUUCUGACGGUACCCAAAGAAUAAGCACCGGCUAACUUCGU